UUCAUUGUUACCUAUGUAAAGCAAAGGGCCAAACCUGCAUGUAAUUUCUAACUUUCAUGUUUUCAUGCAGUAUGCUCAGUAUUUUCAUGGCAAAACAAUAUCAAACAUUUUGCAGAUAACCAGCCAAUAGUUCAACUAAAUAAAACAUCACUCUAGGCAAGGUUUCAUGCAUGUUAAUCAUCUAACAAACUCUUAUGCAUCAUGCCUUAUGUUUGGAACCUAAUGGGGGUCCAACCCAUUUAGCUAAAAAUCUAUU
RNAcentral lists this long non-coding RNA (256 nucleotides) under Carica papaya (papaya). Its description in RNAcentral is "long non-coding RNA (CPAP_LNC012935)". Lineage: Eukaryota; Viridiplantae; Streptophyta; Magnoliopsida; Brassicales; Caricaceae. The record is from RNAcentral.